Molecule: long non-coding RNA, 6427 nt
Organism: Meleagris gallopavo (turkey)
Lineage: Eukaryota; Metazoa; Chordata; Aves; Galliformes; Phasianidae
Source: RefSeq, a predicted model, not a curated record
GGCGGAUGCGGUUUCUGCCGCGUGCGCUACACCGAAGCCGGGUUCUUCGGUGACGUUCUGUCAUGCGGCGAACGCAGAAGCUGUUUUAGGCUGAACGUUCGCGACCCGGGCUGCAGAGGAUGUGUGUAUGUCACACUGACACACCGGGCCCCCAUCUCCUCCCUGCUGUGCGAGCGGCGCGCUGCGGGCCGCAAGGGCGCAAUGAUGGAUCGCCGGGGCUGCGCGGGGCCGAGCCUUACACAAAUCCCACACUUAGCAGUGCGGUUAUGCAAGCGGCAUCGUUACAUAAUGAGAAUAUAUAAAUACAGGGAAAGCAGUGGCAGUGUGCUGCUGUGCGGUAAGAAGUUUGGGGUAAUGAGAAGAAAUUGCAGAAAGUGAAGAGACCUGCAGGCUCAGGUGGCAGCUGGAGCACGGGGCUGUUCUCUGCUGCUUCCACGUGUUUCCUUUCUGUUUGCUUUCAGCACAUGUGAAUGGUCUUAAACAUCUUGUGCAUUUUCAUAUGUCUUUAUUGCACUACAAUAUUCUGAUAUAUAUGUAAACUCAUGUAGUAUAAUCUCAGUACAGCAUAAUUAGGGUUCCAUACCCUAUGAUUUUUAUUAAAAUCUUCUAUUGAGUGAUGAGUAGUGACAAAGUGCAAGGUACUGUGAACAUAAAGGUGACCAGAAAAGUGUUUUUAAAAACUGGCACAAAAGAAGCAGUAAAAAUGUGUUGCUGAAAGUGAUGUUCAGUGCAUUUUUCAUUACAGGAAAACAUUGAUUUUACAGAACUGUCCGAAGUAGGGCAGGCUGAUGGCACUGCUUGUAAUCUUUACAAAAAUAAAGUCCUGCUAGGAAAAUAAACACAGCUGAAACAGUACUGGGAAGUUAAUGAAUAGAGUAAAAUAUUAAACAAAGGGACUUAUUUUUUAGAUAAUGGGCCUAACGUGUUCUGAUGUCCAUGCAUGUUAGAGGGUGGGAGGUGGAAGCCUGGCAGCCUGCAGAGACAACAGUCCUUGGGGUGAGCAGGAUGCUCUGUGGGCUCUGCAAUGUGUGGUUUAAGGAGAAGAAAGGCUCUUCGGGGUUAAACUGCUCAGCCUCUGGCAAAUCUUCUGUCCAUCUUCUGAUGGGCUGCUCUGUGCUGAAGAGGCCCCAGGAGCAGACAGGCUAGAUGCUGCCCAUGGGCUGUGUCGCUGUGGUUGUCCCCGCUGGUGAGGCAGUUGCAGCCAGAUGUCUCCUCCCUGCCCUGCUCCCAUCCUGCUGCGUGAUUCCUAAGUGAUGCUUUCAUCUCUGGUAGUGAAUGCCACCGCAGGCCCUAGGCAUCAGGCCAAAGUUAGCGUGGUCUUCAGCCUCCCUGCUCAAGGUUAGGUACAGAGAGGUGGCUGGGAGCCACGUGGUUCAGACCUGCGCUGAAGAGCCUGCUGGAAAAGCACCAGCAGCUGUUGUGACAGAUGGUCUAAACAACAGCAGCAUCCGCUGCUGAUGGAAGUGCUGGGCUGCAGCAGCAGCAGGACUCGUUCGGCACUUCUGUCUUUUCCACAGGCAGGAGGCAUUUAGUCCUCUUGCCUUGGAGAAUAUUGCCUAUCUCCUGGCUUCCUGCGAGAAACGCCCACUGGGUCUGCAGCUCUGUGGGAAGUAGCCCUGCUGGGGAUCAGCACGUGGAAUUUGUUGGUGGUUCCGGAUCCUCAGUGGCACCUGACUGUCUGGGCGCUGGUGAAGAUAUGUAUUGCUGUCACAGCAGUGAAGAUAAAUGUCUGGAAACUUUUCUCCAUUGUUCUUGUCUUCCUGUAGUAUUUUAAAAUGCCCUAGGAUAAUAUUCUGUGGGACGGAAGCUUUCGGUUUUCCAGUGCUGGGGUCAGACAGGAAGGUGCUGCACAGUCCCUGUGCUCCUUGGCAAUAGGUAAAAGAACGCUGUGAGCUCAGCCAGUUCUGUCCUGUCGUGUAUCUCUAGGCUGUGUCCCCGUGCAGCCUGCACUGUGGACUAAAUGCAAAUACGUCUCUGGAAGAAGGACAGGGUCAUGGUCAUUGUCUGGUUCUGUUUGCUUUGUUCCUGUGGGUUUACCUGUUAAUGCUGUUAUAUAUAAAUACAAGCAGUACUACAGAUAAAUUGCAAGUUCCUUUUCUCCAUCUCUGUGUGGGCACAAGCUUGGGCUUGUGCCAGGUGCUUAGGUAAUGUCACACAUGUAGGAUUUGGGUCUCCUUGUCUGGACAGAAAGCGCCAUGGUGAUCUCAGAGCUUCUAAAGAUCACUGUUCAUGUCAUUUCCAAGUGAGUCCAACACAGCUGUAGGAGCUACAGUAAUGAAAAUAAUCAGCAGCAGUCUGGUUCCUUUUUUUUCAGGGCUGCUGUCUCACGGGAGAGAAUGAUCUCCAAGGAUAGACUGGGCUUUCAUAAGGACGGCUGUAUACAUUUUAUGUAGGGUUAGUUAUUCCGUUUGCAAGCCAGCUGGAGUAGUGUACUGGGAACCUUACAAUUUAAAGCUCUUACAACCUUAAAAUAACUUCUUAUUUGUGUGUUGUCAGUCAAGGUUAGUAUUACUUGACUAUUAUGUGGUAGGGGAGGGAAAGUCAGGGCAUUUGGAGGUCACAGAGAGGAGUCCACAGGCUGUAGUGUGUGAAGAAGCCUCAGUGCAUUGCUCUAAACCAGAGGGUUUAUAUUUAGAAGGGCAUGAUCAGCAUAUAGCUGGGUUUCUUCUAGCAUGUGUAGAAUGUUCUGCAGGCUUUGUCUCGAAAUAACCUUUGAGAAGACUCUUAAAACUCUGGUGAAGGCAUUGUCUAAUGAGGUAAAUAAUGGGAGGUAGCGUUGAUCAGUGCUGGCGUGAAGACUCAAAGAAAAAGUUUUCCCAAAAUACCAAAUGUGGAUUUGUUUCUAUUGUAUACUUUCAUUUUAUUCAUAUUUGAAGUCCUUUCACAAUGUAUCAUUUUGUCUAAAAUAUCACAAGCCCUGUAAAAUAUUGUGAAUUACUUCAGACAUCCACAACGAAAUUAUGCCUUUCAGGUAGAAAAAAAGCUGAUUUCUUUUGCACUCUAAUUUAUACAGCAUGCUUGGGAGGAGGUCCUACUUAGCCCUCCUGCUAUCCGCUGUCUUUCUGGGCGAGUAAAGAAAUUAAACCUACAGCUAGAUUGCUGUAACAAUUGCUAGUCUGCGUGUUAGCAAACACUGUGGUGGUUGGCAGAUUUACAGUGCUUUUGGAGAUAUACCUUCAGCCUCAUCCAACUCAGCCCACUCAGAGUGGGGCAAGCAUUAAUCAGAAGAAUCUCUUUUUUGGUAAUACUUUACCAUGAAAUGCUCUUUCUUUCACUUCUUUUGCCUCUUCUAUAUUUCAACUUUCAAGACAGAUUUUACUAAUCUCUUUCUUAGUAAGAAAUUUUCUCUGAGUUGAAACAUCUAAGCUGUGUGCCCUGGAUUUUAUCCUUCUUCACUAACAUCUCUCCAGUACGUCUGACUGUUCUGACAUCCAUCGUGGAACCCCACUGACCACGAGUGAGGGCAGAAUUUGGCUGUAUUUAUUUAAAAGAGUAGACCUUAAGGAAAGAGAGGCUCUAGCUUCAUCUCACUUUGUCUAAUGUAGCUCAUGCUUGCAGUUUCUCUGGUGGAUCGUACAGAGUCACACAAACAUUUUCCUCCCUGUGAUUUUUUAUCCCUUCUCAACUUCGUAUCAGUCUCUUGAAAAUAAUGUCUUGAUGGGUAACUUUGUACUGCAGCGAAUGUGAUCUUUUGUAAUAAUUGAGUAGGCAUAGUGCUUUGAUCUAAUACUGAAGAGGCUAACUUGCCCUUAGCCAUCUACCCUACAAUCAUGUUCAGACUGGAUAAACAGGAAUCCUUGCAUCACUUUCUCCUUCUUAAGUAACUAAUUAGGGCCAAUUAUACUUUAGAAAUAUAAUUCCUUCAUAGAUAAGCAAAGUGGAAGUGAUGUUUGGAUUUUAAAGCCUCAGCUAUAGUUGGAGGUUAGAAAAGAUAGGUAUGGUAAAGGAAAUACAAGACAAUUGCUAAAUACUGGACAAACUGGAAGAAUGAAUCCCAACACAUUUUAAGAAAAUUUAUCUGAAUGUCUUUUUUAAGUUCUUUUUUUCCUUUUUCUUUUUUUUAAAGAUUGGGGGUAGAUUUUGUGUUCUUCUGGACACCGGCAAACCUGAACAUAAGUACUGCAGUGAAAUUAAUUUGACUGUGAUGAAGAAUAGCAUACUGCGUGCAUGCAUACUUCACAAAUGUUCCUGUGAUCAGAAUCCAUCACUGUCCUACUUACAGGGUGCCUACAGCAAGAGCAAAGUAAACUUGUCCUUUGUGAGUGAUUGCAGGGCUGAACCUUCACUUGCAAAAUGCAUGGCCAAGGAAAACUUGCUUGUUUGCAUGUACACAGCUAACUCAAACACCAAGUGAGGGAGUUUUCCAGAGCACAAAUUGAUAUCACUGUUGGUAAACUGAAAAAAGGGAUUCUUGGUAUGGAGAAAGGAAAGACUGCUGCUGCACUCAGCUUGAAUUUCCAUGCUUUUAAACAGCUGAUAAAUUUUCACAUCUGGACUCCAUCCACAUAGGUUAAUUCUUUGCGACGAGAAGUUGCAGAAGAACUUUUGGAAUUAAGCCUUACUGAAGAACACACUGCAAAUUACUGACCUUUCCCUGCUAAAUAGCGGAAGUCUGAUGUUGCCCCCAUAAUCAGUCUGAGGAGUCCCAGAGAAAGAAGAAACUCUUGAAACAAUAAAGCACAUCUCCUAGAAGAGCAGCGGGAUCUGGGAAGGGAAAGCAGCUGCAGAGCAGGAGGACUAGAGCGGGAUGUGGAGUUGAGAGAAGGCAGUGCAGCAGGGCAGGGAGACAAAGCAACGCAGAGGAGACUUCAGCCAGGGGGUGCCAGUUGCAGUCCAGUGUCUCCAGGCAGCCCAGGCUGCAGCUGCUCUGGCCGUGGGCACUGAUGCAUCUCCUCUCUACCUUGCUCUCCUUCCAUGCUGCACACUCGGCUUCCAACAGCAGGUGUGCUUUCAUUGCUACAGAGCAAGGAGCAUCCAUGGCACAUAAAAUCUUCCCUGUCCCCUCAUACCCAUCUUUGCAAAAGGAUUGGAGCAGUGGAGCUGUGAUCUGUCCUGAGCAUGCAGUGGAUCAUGAUGCUCUUAAUUGGUGCAGUUUAUUAAUUACAAAGGAGCAUAGAAGCUGAGUGGUAAGCAGAGGAUUUCUACAAUGAAGUGGAUAAUUAAAAAGGAUUAAUGAAGUGGAUUAAAUGAAAGGAUUGAGGCCAAAUGGAGCACAAAUUUUUGAAACAUUAGUGGCCCCAAACUCCUAGCAUCCAAGGGCAUGUUCCUUUUUUCCAGUUUGAUGUUUGUUUUCACUCAGAAGUGUCAGUCUUUCUUUCAAACCAGGUUUAUCAGCACAUUCCCAGGAGAGCUGAGCAGAUUUUGUCCCUCCUCCCGUGGCCCAAAGUGCUCCUUCUGUCCAGUACAAGUUCCCAUCUGGUUUGCUUUCAGCUCAGUGCUGCACCUGUUUCCACUAUCACAUUAAAGACAAAACUCAAAGGAUGUAAUGGAUGACACUAAUCCUGUGCUUCCUCAGUCUGCUCUGUGUUCUUAAUAACCUCUUUCUCUUUAAGAAAGAUGGAGGAAAAGGACUUUGCUGGGAUUCUGAAACAACAGAAGCCUGCCUAAUCCACCCCUAAAGCUUCUUGGCUAACAGCAUUCCUUCCUGCGGAAAGGCUUCUCUGUGGGCAAGUUUGGAGCACAACAAAGCCUAUAGAAGGACUCAUGCAAUUGCCCCCAAAUUCUGCUGGCAACAGCUGGGUUUUUCUUCUCCCUCCUGCUCCCAAAUCAGUUAUUCCACUUCAGAUCUGAGCAGAGCUUGGAGGAGCUCAGCAGGCAGUGGAGGCGGCUGCAAAGAUGGAGAGGAAUCCACCAGGGUGGGAGGUGGGAGGGAGCUGGUACAGUGCUGUGGGAGCGGCAGGUAAACACUGUGAUAUUUAAAUAAGUUCCCUUCUGAAGGGAGCUCAUUAAACAUCUCUUGAUCCUUACUCCCAAUCCAUUACCAGACCAUUUUUGCAUAGUUAUUUUGCAAAUGGUAGAGGGAGACAUGCAUAUUUCUGCCAUGUGACCCCCAUCUGUCUGCUUUAUGAUUUCUCAGUUGCAGUAGCACUAUCUGGCCAAGCACUUAACUUGGCUGGAAUAGUAAAACAAUUAGUAUGUAAGUAAUUAUUUGUGCCAGUUCCUUUUUUGGUGUGACUCAUGAAGCAGAAAUCACAGGAUAUCAUCAUUGUAAUAUCACUGCCCGUUCUGAGCAGUGGGGAGCUCAUCUGUGGAGCACACAGAAUUCCCCACACGUGUUUUCUGGUUAUUUCCCCAUGCCAGUUACUAGUGGAAGCAGCACUUCGGGGCUGGGCCCACGCUGCCCGAUCCGCUGCCCCUCCCAGCAGCAAUAUUGCCCCAUUUACAAUUGCUCAGUGUAGGCAGCAGGUAGCACACAACGGGGAGAGCC